Long non-coding RNA from Melospiza melodia melodia, 4410 nucleotides. RefSeq lists it as uncharacterized. NCBI's taxonomy places the organism in Eukaryota, Metazoa, Chordata, Aves, Passeriformes, Passerellidae. The record is from RefSeq and is a predicted model, not a curated record. The transcript is spliced from 4 exons.
UGCGAACUGUUCAGGAAUCAGUGCUCACUUCAUCUCCUUCCCAUCCUCCUGGUAGUUUUAUAUUUUGGGUGUGCUUUAUCACGCACGCCACGUGUCAGUGCAGCAGUGCCUGCGUGUGGUUUAUAAAUAACUCCGUGUACACUGGGGACACGCUCGCUCAGGGGUGUUUUACUGUCAGGGGCCCGCCGAGGCCUCUCCCGGCCACACUUAAGGAUCUGGAGCAUUAAAUAACAUUAAGAAUUAACAGACGCCAAAGGAGUCGCAUUCCUUUUUCCGCGGGAAGGAGGUCAGCGCCGGCGGCGUGGGUGUCGCAGCAGCUUCUCCAGUUAUCCUUUCCUGCAGUAACCAAAACUGAGGUCACUGUGAAGCUUUAGCCCUGAUGAUUGACAAGAAAGCCACCUAAAGCGACCUGGCACCUAAAUUGCCUGAUGAGGAAAAUCCCCCUGCUCCCACCGCGUAUUGGCGUUUCGGCUCCAGAUAAUAUUUUAUGUGCAUUAUACCUAGCGCAGCUGAGGGAACCUUGUCGGCACGGCGUGAAUUCGUCCACCUUUACUCAGCGUUCAGGCGGAGAGCGGCUUCCCACCCCUGUGCAUGGGUUGGUGCUGCCGCUCGGGAAUGGUUUGCUCUCUCCGCGGCUCAGCCAGCACUGCAUCAGAUUGUUUGGGAAGUCAGCGGGGCUGCCGGGCACCAGGAUAAAGUUCUUGGAAAGGCGUCAUUGCGAGAGGACUGACAGUGCACACAGGAACCACAGUUACAGCCAGUCAUUGAUUCCCUUUCUGCUUAAGUGCCAUAAAACAUUUCCAGAAAUGGAAGGAGAAAAAGAGCAAAGUGCUAAAGCUACCAGUGCAGUGGGUGACCUGAGGAAAAGUUGGCAGACCUGGGCAGAGGAUCACAUUGAGUAUCAGAGGAAGAAUCCGUUCAGCAGCGAUGACAGGCUUGCGUCUGGACCUGCACACACUCACAGAGGAGAUCCCACCUACGGGAGACCCCCGGAAGGCUCUCGGACAGAGCAGAGAGGGAGAGAUGCUCACUCACACGUGGGUAGGGAAGUAGAAGAGCUGUGCUCGAUCAUCAGAAGAACUGGAAAGGUGGGAGAAGAUGGACACGUGACAGUGACAUUCGGGCAGCUGUUUGAAACAUACGUGACUAUUUCCAAUAAAGUAGUGGGAAUCUUGUUAAGAGCCAGAAAACACGGUCUGGUGCACUUUGAAGGUGAAAUGCUUUGGCAAGGAAACGAUGAUGAUGUGGUCAUCACUUUACUACAAUAAGGCUUUGUCCUGGAAUGAACUUUGCUGCACGGUUCCAUUUGGAAAAACAUAACGAGAUACCAUCUUCACAGGUUUUGGUUACAGAAUUUCAACUCAGCUACCUACUGGGACACAAGCAGGAGAGGAAAUAGGCAAGAAGGAUAUUUUUGUAAAAAUGGCAGAGAUUUGGACGGAAAUUGCAGAUUAUGAGCAACUCCAUCACGCUGACAUUAGAUUGUCCUUAUCAUCUACUAGCAAGUAUAUGAGAGUUCUUUAAAUGACUGUGCUGGCCUACUGCUUUUAGGUUACUGAAAGUAUAGAUUACUAACUGGCUAUCCUACACCACUGAUUCCUGCAGGUUGUGAAAUACUUACUGUGUGGGAGGAUGGGAUUUGUAAAACAUGGAAUUGAAAACUCUUGUGGGAAUUCACAUACUUCUUCAAACAAAGAGCCUGGUAUAUAUAGCAAAAUUUUAGGUUCAAUCUCACAUGGUUAAGCUGAAUAAAUGGAAGUUAUUUUCAUGAAGUAGAUAGAAAUUCCCAAGCUUACAAAAAUAUCACAGCAAGGAUACUUGAUGGUUCUUAAAUUAGUUGCAUCUUGCUUGGAUUUUGGACAGCUGCACUGGUUGUGGUAUUUAACAGUCUAAUCUUAUAGUCAUAUCUUCUCCAAACCUUCUGUGUAUCUUGUUCUUUUUGUUUUUUAUCUCACACAAUUUUUUUUCCUGUUCUUCUAAUGCUUCAGAAGAAGUCCACAAAGCUCUGCAGCCAUUUCGGUGAAUUCAGCUAUACCCCUUCAGAGAAGGUAGGGUGCCACAAUGUAAAGAUGCAAAAGUCAGCAGAAACUCUGUAUUUGGGCAUCUGUGCAUUCAUAAGGAAAAAAACCCCUCUUAUUUCACCAAAAUGUAGCAAUGUUUUUUACAAGAGGAGAGUAGAGAUACUGUAGUACCAAAUGCAUAAAUGAAAGUAUAGCAGCAGUCCCACAGCUCAGUUGUCUGAAAGCACAACUGUGCUUUCAGAGCACAGUUGUGAGCUCUUCAGAAAGAAAAAUAAAGGAUUGGUUAUAUAACAUAGUUGUAAUAGUGCUAUGAAAAAUAAUCAGGAGCUGUAUUUACAAUAGUUACCACCAAUAAAACUAUAUAAUUAGAAAUCUAAAGUUAUAUUUUUUAGCAGUGCAAAUAGAAGCUUCUGUGUGGUGUUAACUACACUACUUGAUGGGUCUUUAAAGUAAGAUACUGUUCUUGCAUCAAAAGAAUAUUAAAAUUUAAUAUAAAUUAGGAACUUGGUAAAAGUGAUGUGUAAUUUUAUGCUAUUUAUAUAAAAGAACUUCUGUUGCAAAAAGCCUAAAAGAAUGGGGUUUUGUUUUGAUGUUUUCAUCCAGUGGGGAUUUGCACCAAACUAAGUCUUUGGCUGAGGAUUUCAUUAUUUUCCUCCCUCCUUUUUUGUUUUUCUGGUGAAAGGACAAUGAAAAGAGAGGGGAAAAAAGGGAAUAAAUUAAUGUGCUGAAAUAAGUAUAUCUGGGGAACAGGGCAGUCAGAUGCAGGUAGAGAAUGGAUUUUAACCACCACAUCAUUUUAACACACUGGAAAAGGGGGAAUAUGUGCUGCACCAGGCACUGUUGGUGUGCUCCCUUAGCUUUCAAACCUACUGCUUCUUUCUAAACAGAUCUACACCUUGCAGCUGAAAAAGAAGUAGAUGUAGUUUGUUAGCUUAACAUACUUAAAAUGUUCUUUUUGAAAAAGCAUUUCUUGCCAAAUGACAUGAGCACAACCUCAUUUUUCCGCUCCUAUUAGAGGAAGUCUUUACAUGCAUUCAGAUUUCAAUGCAAAUUAAACAUUUUAUAGUGCAGCUGUGGAAUGAGUUUUGUUUAAUUCUAACAAUUCUGAAAUCCACUCAGUUCUGCUGUAGUGUUAGUUCACAACUUGCAGGAAGCAGCAUCAGGCACUUCAAGUGUCAUCAGCUGAUUAAUGGGAUGCGAUAAGGAAAAACAACACGUUGCUGGACAUUGUACAAAUAAUUCAUUGCAAGACACACACGUGAGGCAGUAUGUAGCCUGAGCACCGCAAGAUGCAAGUCCAGCUCACAUAAAUUUACUACUUUUUAAUUAAGGCUGGCUCAAAUAGUUAAAUAUCAGCAAUCUAGGCUGUCACUGCCAUGUAAGUGGUAGAUGCUUGAGCACAACUACAAGCACUUUUAAAGUACACCUCUGAUCAAAACAGAAGCAGAGCAAACCCUUAAUGACAUGGUCUUACCUACUUUGUAAGCGACUAAAAAAAGUUUGCUCUAUUAUUAUAUUUUUAAUAGAACCAAGGAUUACUAUAUAACAAAACUAUUAUUUAUAGAGGGAUUUUUUUAAACAAUUACAGAGCCAACCUGCCAGCUUUAGAUGAGCAUUCUGGAAAACGUGACUGAAAUCUUUCUGUGUGCCCAUGCAAUGAUUAUAAACACUGAGCUGCCAAACUGGCUCAGCACACAGGUUGACAAAUCCAUCUUGUGCUUCCAGCAAUAGCAUUUCAAAAAAAUACUAAAAGAUAGAUAAUAGAAAUGGUCAGCUUGCCCACUGGUACACUCUAGAAUAAAAAAUUACUCCUGAAGCCUGUUUAGUAAUGAAUGUAUUAUAUCUAAUGCACAUGACUCAGUUCAGCUACAAGUUUUACAAAAAUAUGCUUCAUCUGUGAUUAAAUAAACAUCUACAGAUGAAAUAGGAAUUUAAACUUUUCAACAGGGCAACUUGGUUUUUUUCAGCAGGCUCCCAUUAGAGUAAAUGGAACAGAAUUUAUUAAAUUGUUUUUGCAAAAAUUGUAGCACGUAAGGGGUUUUAGUAUUACAGAUUUGGAGUAGUAAGUAAACCCCAACCUUUUUAAAAGGUGUUCUUGCCCUAAUAAGCAUCUUUUAGCUGUUUAAAUCUCUCCUAAACUUCACUUUGUGACAUAUUACCUCAGUGGUCUUUGCCCUCCUUCCACUUGAAGUCUGUAAACUCUGCAUGUGUUUUGGACUGUAUAUCAUAUACAAGACUAUCUGUGGUUCAUUUUGUUAAACACUGAAGGCACUGUCACCAUUUCAAUAAAUGUUGCACAUUAGUUUGAAAUGGCAAGAGUUUUUAUGCAGCAUUUAAUUGUUUACAAGUUUCUCACAUUUCAAAUACAAUUUUCAUUGGUUUGCUCUCA